UUGCACGCUGGCGGCAGGCUUCACCCCUGCCAGUCGCGCGGAGAUGAGGUGCUUGCACCUUAUCUUAGCGGCGGACGGGUGAGUAAUGCUUAGGAAUCUGCCAUUUAGUGGGGGACAACAUUCCGAAAGGAAUGCUAAUACCGCAUACGUCCUACGGGAGAAAGCAGGGGAUCUUCGGACCUUGCGCUAAAUGAUGAGCCUAAGUCGGAUUAGCUAGUUGGUGGGGUAAAGGCCUACCAAGGCGACGAUCUGUAGCGGGUCUGAGAGGAUGAUCCGCCACACUGGGACUGAGACACGGCCCAGACUCCUACGGGAGGCAGCAGUGGGGAAUAUUGGACAAUGGGGGGAACCCUGAUCCAGCCAUGCCGCGUGUGUGAAGAAGGCCUUAUGGUUGUAAAGCACUUUAAGCGAGGAGGAGGCUACUGAGACUAAUACUCUUGGAUAGUGGACGUUACUCGCAGAAUAAGCACCGGCUAACUCUGUG
This 484-nucleotide ribosomal RNA is filed under the name uncultured bacterium. RNAcentral describes it as "partial 16S ribosomal RNA". It matches the Rfam family "Bacterial small subunit ribosomal RNA", at positions 30 to 507 of the family's 1533-position model. The record is from RNAcentral.